CGGCACGGGUGAGUAACACGUAUCCAACCUGCCGUCUACUCUUGGACAGCCUUCUGAAAGGAAGAUUAAUACAAGAUGGCAUCAUGAGUCCGCAUGUUCACAUGAUUAAAGGUAUUCCGGUAGACGAUGGGGAUGCGUCCAUUAGAUAGUAGGCGGGGUAACGGCCCACCUAGUCUUCGAUGGAUAGGGGUUCUGAGAGGAAGGUCCCCCACAUUGGAACUGAGACACGGUCCAA
Molecule: ribosomal RNA, 235 nt
Filed under: uncultured bacterium
Lineage: Bacteria
Description: partial 16S ribosomal RNA
Rfam family: Bacterial small subunit ribosomal RNA
Source: RNAcentral